Molecule: ribosomal RNA, 253 nt
Filed under: uncultured bacterium
Lineage: Bacteria
Description: partial 16S ribosomal RNA
Rfam family: Bacterial small subunit ribosomal RNA
Source: RNAcentral
GACGUAGGGGGCGAGCGUUGUCCGGAUUUAUUGGGCGUAAAGCGUGCGUAGGCGGCUGCGCAAGUCGGUGGUGAAACCCCGGGGCUCAACCCCGGAACUGCAUCCGAUACUGCGUGGCUAGAGGUAGGUAGGGGAGAUCGGAAUUCCUGGUGUAGCGGUGAAAUGCGCAGAUAUCAGGAGGAACACCGGUGGCGAGGGCGGCUCACUGGACUGGUACUGACGCUGAUGCGCGAAAGCGUGGGGAGCAAACAGG